RNAcentral lists this transfer RNA (73 nucleotides) under Paramuricea clavata. It matches the Rfam family "tRNA". From Rfam's summary of the family: Transfer RNA (tRNA) molecules are approximately 80 nucleotides in length. Their secondary structure includes four short double-helical elements and three loops (D, anti-codon, and T loops). Further hydrogen bonds mediate the characteristic L-shaped molecular structure. tRNAs have two regions of fundamental functional importance: the anti-codon, which is responsible for specific mRNA codon recognition, and the 3' end, to which the tRNAs corresponding amino acid is attached (by aminoacyl-tRNA synthetases). tRNAs cope with the degeneracy of the genetic code in two manners: having more than one tRNA (with a specific anti-codon) for a particular amino acid; and 'wobble' base-pairing, i.e. permitting non-standard base-pairing at the 3rd anti-codon position. The record is from Rfam by way of RNAcentral. Lineage: Eukaryota; Metazoa; Cnidaria; Anthozoa; Malacalcyonacea; Plexauridae.
GCAUCUGUAGCUCAGUUGGUUAGAGCGCUGCACCGUGAUCGCAGGACCGCAGAUUCGAUUCCUGCUAGAGGCC